Long non-coding RNA from Glycine soja, 1428 nucleotides. RefSeq lists it as uncharacterized. The record is from RefSeq and is a predicted model, not a curated record. The transcript is spliced from 3 exons. Lineage: Eukaryota; Viridiplantae; Streptophyta; Magnoliopsida; Fabales; Fabaceae.
ACAAAGAGUGGGUUUGAAUGAUGAAAAGAAAAUUAAAUUUAUGUCAUUUUAACAAGAAAUUUUAUUUAAGAGAGAACCCAUGAAUUGAAAUUCUCUACAAGAAUGAGAGACUUUCAAUUUCUUUGUAAUUCCUCUCUACGGUCAGUCUCGUUCAUCACUCUCGACCUACACCUCACUUGCUCUUACUCAUUCCUCUCCACCCACACACUCUCCCUUGCGACUUCGAGACCCUCAUUCUCACUCUCAGUCAUGACAACCUUCGUUUAGAUCACACACUCUCGGUGGCUAUUACCUCGUUCAGAUCGCACACUCUCAUGGUGGCUACGACCUUCGUUUUCUGUUGAUUCAAAUCGCACACUCUCUUCAUACAAGUCACAUGAAGAGGUCAAACGAUUUCGAUUCAAAGUCAUUCCUAAUUGGGAUGAUAUUAUAGACCUAUGUGCAAAGGAUAGAGCUACUGGACUCGGAAAAGAAAAUGCAUUAGAUGUAGAUGAUAUCAUGAGCAAAGAAGCAAAUGAAGAGGAAGCAAUUCACAAUGUGAAUAUUGAUUUAGAGGGAUCAAGUUCUGCCUCAAGGAAAAACAUUCGCCCAAGUAAGAGUGGAGAGAAAGAAGGGAUCAUUUCCUCAAUGAAAGAAGUAGCCGAGUCAUUAAAGCGGUGAAUGAGCUAGAUAAUAUACCUAAUUUUAAUGGUGCACUUUGACAUAAAACAAUCGUUUGGUUGAGAAAAAAUAUCAUUAUGUUUGCAACUAUAAAAGCUCUUUCAUUGGAUGAGAAGGAAUUACAUCUCGUCUUUUAUGCCUUGAUGCCAAUGCCAAGUUAGAGGAGCACAUACAAUUGGUUAUGCCCGAUGCUUGACCUUCAAAAGGAGACUUUUCGACUCUCAAGGCUCUGGCAGACCUGAUCCCAUGAUUGAUUUUUCACUUUUCUUAAGAUUGCAAAAUAGGCGUCCAAAUAAUGACGCUUCAAACAGCAAUCUAGCUCCUCUGGAUGCUGCAACUAUUUUGACGUUCGACAGUGUGUAUUAUAGAAAUCUCUUGAGCGAAACAGGGCUUCUAGAAUCUGACCAAGCACUAAUUCGGGAUUCAAGGACUGCUUCUAUGGCUUAUUUUUACAGCACCGACCAAUCUUCGUUAUAUAAUGAUUUUGCUGCAUCCAUGGUGAAGCUUAGUAAUGUAGGAGUACUUAGAGGAAUACAAGGGCAAAUUAGAAGGACAUGUGGCUCUUUAAACUAUUAUGUGCUUGAUAUUUUCAACUUCUUAGCAAAACCUCAACAAUAUAAUUGAGGAAGCCAAUGUAAGUUACUUGGAGCAUAAAUGCUAUCCUGCUGUAUAUUAUGUCAAGUCCAUCAUCUUUGUAGGUGUUGGCGGUAUCCCAGAAGAAUGCAGAUUAGCCAUGUUUUACUUUUAUGUCAAGAUCAUUCUGUCGAA